Molecule: unclassified non-coding RNA, 240 nt
Filed under: soil metagenome
Description: partial contains 5.8S ribosomal RNA, internal transcribed spacer 2, and large subunit ribosomal RNA
Source: RNAcentral
AAGACUAUAGACCUGCGGAGUACCUGCGGAGGGAUCAUUAACCUUUCAAAAAACAGGGUGCGUCGCGGCCCCCCUCCGGGGGCGGUUUGGGGUCCUCCCCUUCACGCGCGCACGACUGCAUCCUUACUUUACGAGCACCUUCUGUUCUCCCUCGGCGGGGCAACCUGCCGUUGGAACCGAAUAAACCCUUUUUUGCAUCCAGCAUUACCCGUUCCGAAACAAACAAUCGUUACAACUUUC